GAGACCCGCGCCCACAGUUGCCAGCGUACUCUCCGGAGUGACGGGUACACUGUGGGGACCGCCGCUGCUAAAGCGGAGGAAGGAAUGGGCAACGGUAGGUCAGUAUGCCCCGAAUAUCCCGGGCUACACGCGAGCUACAAUGGUUGGUACAAUGGGUAUCUACCCCGAAAGGGGAUGGAAAUCUCCUAAAGCCAAUCUUAGUUCGGAUUGAGGGCUGCAACUCGCCCUCAUGAAGCUGGAAUCCGUAGUAAUCGCGUUUCAACAGAACGCGGUGAAUAC
Molecule: ribosomal RNA, 279 nt
Filed under: uncultured archaeon
Lineage: Archaea
Description: partial 16S rRNA
Rfam family: Archaeal small subunit ribosomal RNA
Source: RNAcentral